AUUGAACGCUGGCGGCAUGCUUUACACAUGCAAGUCGAACGGUAACAGGCCGCAAGGUGCUGACGAGUGGCGAACGGGUGAGUAAUGCAUCGGAACGUGCCCAGUCGUGGGGGAUAACUACUCGAAAGAGUAGCUAAUACCGCAUACGAUCUAUGGAUGACAGCGGGGGACCGUAAGGCCUCGCGCGAUUGGAGCGGCCGAUGUCAGAUUAGGUAGUUGGUGGGGUAAAGGCUCACCAAGCCAACGAUCUGUAGCUGGUCUGAGAGGACGACCAGCCACACUGGGACUGAGACACGGCCCAGACUCCUACGGGAGGCAGCAGUGGGGAAUUUUGGACAAUGGGCGCAAGCCUGAUCCAGCAAUGCCGCGUGCAGGAAGAAGGCCUUCGGGUUGUAAACUGCUUUUGUACGGAACGAAACGGCUCUGGUUAAUACCCGGGGCUAAUGACGGUACCGUAAGAAUAAGCACCGGCUAACUACGUG
This 482-nucleotide ribosomal RNA is filed under the name uncultured bacterium. RNAcentral describes it as "partial 16S ribosomal RNA". It matches the Rfam family "Bacterial small subunit ribosomal RNA", at positions 30 to 507 of the family's 1533-position model. The record is from RNAcentral.